This 395-nucleotide ribosomal RNA is filed under the name uncultured bacterium. Its description in RNAcentral is "bacterial SSU rRNA". It matches the Rfam family "Bacterial small subunit ribosomal RNA", at positions 30 to 429 of the family's 1533-position model. The record is from RNAcentral.
AUUGAACGCUGGCGGCAUGCCUUACACAUGCAAGUCGAACGGCAGCGGGCCUUCGGGUGCCGGCGAGUGGCGAACGGGUGAGUAAUGCAUCGGAACGUGCCAUUGAGUGGGGGAUAACGUAGCGAAAGUUGCGCUAAUACCGCAUAUUCUGUGAGCAGGAAAGCAGGGGACCGCAAGGCCUUGCGCUCUUUGAGCGGCCGAUGUCAGAUUAGCUAGUUGGUGAGGUAAAGGCUUACCAAGGCGACGAUCUGUAGCGGGUCUGAGAGGAUGAUCCGCCACACUGGAACUGAGACACGGUCCAGACUCCUACGGGAGGCAGCAGUGGGGAAUUUUGGACAAUGGGGGGCAACCCUGAUCCAGCCAUGCCGCGUGAGUGAAGAAGGCCUCGGUGUAAG